UCCCAGACUCCUACGGGAGGCAGCAGUGGGGAAUAUUGCACAAUGGGGGGAACCCUGAUGCAGCAACGCCGCGUGGGUGAAGAAGUACUCCGGUAUGUAAAGCCCUGUCAGCAGGGAAGAAAAUGGCGGUACCUGACCAAGAAGCCCCGGCUAACUACGUGCCAGCAGCCGCGGUAAUACGUAGGGGGCAAGCGUUAUCCGGAUUCACUGGGUGUAAAGGGAGCGUAGACGGCCAUGCAAGCCUGGAGUGAAAGCCCGGGGCCCAACCCCGGGACUGCUCUGGGAACUGUGCGGCUGGAGUGCGGGAGGGGCAGGCGGAAUUCCUGGUGUAGCGGUGAAAUGCGUAGAUAUCAGGAGGAACACCGGCGGCGAAGGCGGCCUGCUGGACCGCGACUGACGUUGAGGCUCGAAAGCGUGGGGAGCAAACAGGAUUAGAUGCCCCUGUA
RNAcentral lists this ribosomal RNA (446 nucleotides) under uncultured bacterium. Its description in RNAcentral is "bacterial SSU rRNA". It matches the Rfam family "Bacterial small subunit ribosomal RNA", at positions 329 to 792 of the family's 1533-position model. The record is from RNAcentral.